RNAcentral lists this ribosomal RNA (495 nucleotides) under uncultured bacterium. Its description in RNAcentral is "partial 16S ribosomal RNA". It matches the Rfam family "Bacterial small subunit ribosomal RNA", at positions 29 to 506 of the family's 1533-position model. The record is from RNAcentral.
AUGAACGCUGGCGGCGUGCCUAAUACAUGCAAGUCGAGCGAACAGACGAGGAGCUUGCUCCUCUGACGUUAGCGGCGGACGGGUGAGUAACACGUGGAUAACCUACCUAUAAGACUGGGAUAACUUCGGGAAACCGGAGCUAAUACCGGAUAAUAUAUUGAACCGCAUGGUUCAAUAGUGAAAGACGGUUUUGCUGUCACUUAUAGGUGGAUCCGCGCCGCAUUAGCUAGUUGGUAAGGUAACGGCUUACCAAGGCAACGAUGCGUAGCCGACCUGAGAGGGUGAUCGGCCACACUGGAACUGAGACACGGUCCAGACUCCUACGGGAGGCAGCAGUAGGGAAUCUUCCGCAAUGGGCGAAAGCCUGACGGAGCAACGCCGCGUGAGUGAUGAAGGUCUUCGGAUCGUAAAACUCUGUUAUUAGGGAAGAACAAAUGUGUAAGUAACUAUGCACGUCUUGACGGUACCUAAUCAGAAAGCCACGGCUAACUACGU